GAUCAUGGCUCAGGAUGAACGCUAGCUACAGGCUUAACACAUACAAGUCGAGGGGCAGCAUGGUCUUAGCUUGCUAAGGCCGAUGGCGACCGGCGCACGGGUGAGUAACACGUAUCCAACCUGCCGUCUACUCUUGGACAGCCUUCUGAAAGGAAGGUUAAUACAAGAUGGCAUCAUGAGUCCGCAUGUUCACAUGAUUAAAGGUAUUCCGGUAGACGAUGGGG
RNAcentral lists this ribosomal RNA (224 nucleotides) under uncultured bacterium. RNAcentral describes it as "partial 16S ribosomal RNA". It matches the Rfam family "Bacterial small subunit ribosomal RNA", at positions 15 to 230 of the family's 1533-position model. The record is from RNAcentral.